ACCGAGCUGCGCGGUCCUGGUCAGCUGGUCAGGUCUCCGUGGUGUGUGUGGUACAUAUGUGUGUGUGUGUGUGUGUGUUAAUCUUGUUUUAUCUGCAUCCAUCGCAUCUCUACAGCAACGCCACGCACUAGAAGCCUUCGUGGGACGCCAAGGAGGACGCGGCCACAGGCGCAGGGACAGGGAGACGCGGAAGAUGCGUGGUUAUCGUGGUUGUCCCUGAUCCCGCCACAUCCCCCGCUAGCUCUGGAACACGCCCGCCAGAAGGACCAAGGAGCAGGACGGAGACAGAGCACAGCGGCAAGUACAAAGCUAUCAACAUCAGAACAGUAUAUGAAUAUGGCAAAUGCUGUUUUGACAUCAUUUCCUGCCAUCCUGAGAAACAGUGAUCUCGAGUAGCAUGAAUUGCAGCUACAAUGGAAAUUGCGCAUCCAGCGCAAGUUUCAGAAUUCAAGAAAGAGGCAGGAUUCCUCAGUGACUGAGGUGAUGUCAAGGAAAAAGAAAAUCCCUUGCAUAGCGCCAAAAGAGACUACGUGUCCACUGAUGUAUGGAGUAAAGGCUUACCUUCCACCAAGGCCCCAUUCAGAAGAUGAUGAAUCAUUAGAGAGACAUAGACAGUGGCUUGCUCUACACUGGAUGAAGAAAGAUCCUGAGUUAGAUAAGAUAAUCAAGGAGUUCCUGAGAUUAGAACCACAAGGGGAUGAACCAGACCCAAGAGUAGCAGUUUUGAAAGGGCUGGAGAAAUAUAGGCUCCCAAUAAUUGCCAUUCUCAAAAAAGAAAAGCAGUUCCUCUGUAUAUGGAAACCUUACUUGAACUCUAUGACCACGAUGAAAGUCAAUGCGAGUAAUGUCUAGUUCAAUUUGUUCAUUUCAGUAGCUGGUAGCAAUUUAAUAUAUGUAUCUUUUCAUCAUUAGCAAUGCAUCUUUCACUUUUAUAAGCCUAGUAUUCAUGAAACUAUGCUGCAUGCAAAAACCAAACAUUGUAUUAAGCAUGACCUAUCUAACUGUAAUGCUUGAACCAAUUUCUAUAAAGGUACUAAUUUAAUUGUUAAAUUCCUGCUCUUCUAUCAAAUUUUUGGCUGAGUGCUAUGGCUAAAUAAUUGUUUGCAGCAUAAGUGAUGUUAAAGAUUUUAAUAGGUGUAAAGCAUCUCUCUCUCUCUCUCUCUCUCUCUCUCUCUCUCUCUCUCUCUCUCUCUCUCUCUCUCUCUCUCUCUCUCUCUCUCUCUCUCUCUCUCUCUCUCUCUCUCUCGUAAGGAAAGACAUUAUUUCUAGUGUAAAUAAACCCAAUAGGCUGUCCAAUUUGAAAUUUAAAAUGUAAAUAUUAUCAAUCUUUUUAGAAAUGUUAGCUGCAUCCUCUUCCCUUGCAGUCCAAUAAGACAGGUCACUAAUUCGUGUGGAGAUAGAAUUCUUGGAGUCACCUUUGCCGGCACUAGCGCAAGUGCAAACAGUCUGAUAAAGGUUUCUUCCAUGGUUGUGAUGAAGUUCAGGAUUUCUCACACUGUUUUGGUGGAUAUGAUGAGUAGAAUCGGGAGUUCGGAACAUCAGUGCGUUAUGUCGGGGCAUGUAGGUUCGGCUGGGGUUUUCUUUCUUUCUUUUUUUUUUUUUUCGAUCAGUACUCAUCAUAUUCUUACGAGGACUUGCUAGACAAAGGAUUAUUGCAUUAUGAUAUUACCCAAAUAGUGUCUCAAGUAAAAAACAUAACCGCAUACUUGUACAAAAGAUUUGCUGCUGUGACACACAUGACAAAAAUCAUUAGUAUACUGGUCGUUCUGAGCAUUCAAUCAAAAUGCUUGUCAUUCAUAUAAUUAGUAGAACCAUCAAGGAGCUUUAUUUUUGUUAAUUCUUAUGUGAUAAAGCAAUAAUUACAGGAGACUUUUAAAAGAUUGGUACUCAAAAUAGUGGACUGUCCUAUUGGAUGUGACCAUAUCUUCACUUUUUCCUUACACAGUUAAUUUUCUUUUGUUUAUUUGAUUUACUUAUUAUCAUAUUUAUUUAUAUAUUUAUUUAUUUGCACCAGAUGCUUGCUUAGUUAUAUUGGGGUUACUUCACCUGCUUGGAGAAAGGAAAGACUCCAUUUUUACUAAGGUACCAGAAGAAGAACUAAGAACAGGGCAGUCUAGUGUGUAUUUGAUGGUGCACCUGUAGCUGAACCAACAUGUAUUUCUAUGGCUGUAGUCUCAUUGGUAGCAGGGCUUUGUGUUUAAUAUUAAACACCCAAAAAAUUGUGAACAUUUCCUCCGUUUCACAACAUCCCAUCUCUUAGGUAUCAAGUAUGACAAAGGUAACACUUCAAAAACAAGAUCUCUACUUGUAAAACUCAAUGAAGUAAAGACAGAAUUGAGCUACAAAAAUGCAUAAAUCUGCUUCCAAAUAUAUUCAACUCCACACAUAAUGCCUCUCUCUCUCUCUCUCUCUCUCUCUCUCUCUCUCUCUCUCUCUCUCUCUCUCUCUCUCUCUCUCUCUCUCUCUCUCUCUCUCUCUCUCUCUCUCUCUCUCUCUCUCUCUCUCUCUCUCUCUCUCUCUCUCUCUCUUUCUCUCUGUCACACACACAGACACACUAGUCAAUUACUAGUUAAAGAUUAAUCAGUGAAAUAAAUACAUAACAUUAUGUUAAUAAGUUUUCUAAAAGGAAAAGGAAAUACUUGUACUUCCCCUU
Molecule: long non-coding RNA, 2653 nt
Organism: Scylla paramamosain (green mud crab)
Lineage: Eukaryota; Metazoa; Arthropoda; Malacostraca; Decapoda; Portunidae
Exons: 6
Source: RefSeq, a predicted model, not a curated record